AGAGGGAGAAUAGUGAUGCGAUCAUGUAAUGCAGUAGAGAGUGAGUGAGUAUAGUGUAUGUGUGUGUUUAUUUCUAGCAGAGCUGGUGCGUAAAGAGGCAUGGCGGACUCGGUGAAGACGUUCCAGGCGCAUCUGACCGCCGUGAUGGACAGCCUGGUGCGCGCGUCCGUGUGCGAGAUCACCAAGCUGUUCGAGGACACGGUGAACGACUACCUGGUGGAGAUCUCGCUCAACCGGAAGGAGAACGAGGCUUUGAAACUGCGCCUGAGACUCACCGAGAACAAGCUUAAGAACGAGCGGAAGUACGGGCUGGCCUGGGCGGCCAGUCGGCGCGCAGCCGGCCUGCUCGGUCCUGAUGAGACCGGCGCAGCAAAAAAGAGAAAGCUGGAGCCUAGUAAGCACAGGCACAAGUUCAUUACUACUAGAGGCAAGCAGGCCAAGGAGUGGAGCGGUGGCGUGUGGGAGGAGGGGGUUGGAGGAGCGAGGGAUGAGAGGAGGGACAAGAGGAGGGACGAGAGGAGGGACGUGGGCCGCACGCAUCCACCAACCACAGUGGAAGGAGAGGAGCAGGAGGAGGAGAGGAGACACGUCUCUGGGGAGAGAAAGGAGGUGGCCACUGUUAAGGAGGAGGAGGACGUGUACAGGUGCGAGUCAGUGAGGCUGCUGCAGGAGGCGCUUCAGAUGAGCCAGACUGAAAGCAACACAGCACACGGUGAGCACCAGAAGGCCACACGUGGGUAAGAGAAGGCGUAUAGCUGUGUGAUUAGUGUGGGUAAGAGAAGGCG
This is a long non-coding RNA of Ictalurus punctatus (channel catfish), 785 nucleotides long. The record is from Ensembl. NCBI's taxonomy places the organism in Eukaryota, Metazoa, Chordata, Actinopteri, Siluriformes, Ictaluridae.